Molecule: long non-coding RNA, 497 nt
Organism: Phyllostomus hastatus (greater spear-nosed bat)
Lineage: Eukaryota; Metazoa; Chordata; Mammalia; Chiroptera; Phyllostomidae
Exons: 5
Source: RefSeq, a predicted model, not a curated record
UCUUGAUACCUGACCCAUGGACUCUAGCUGUUGUAAACACAGUACUGUAUAUUGUUUUUUGAUUCAAUGCAUAUUUCAUGUUCUGGAAGAUAGGAAGCAAGGAGGAGCUGCCCUUUCAUAAUGCAUCAACAUUAUUGACUGGCCUGUGAUUCCAUACUUGGAGUUAAGGCUGUCCUUGGGAAGUUUAAAAUGUGCUUGAGAUGUUGAAACCAGUUCCAUUUUAAAAGGAUAACUUCUUAUACAGAUGCCUCAAUGCAGCUGGUCCUUUGGAAAAAAAGUAUUUAUAAGAAAGCAAUAUGAAUUGUACUCAAGAAAGGGAAUCUGAGUUGGAAGCAAGAGACUACCAAGUUCGUAUUUUCAGAUUGGAUGGGCAAGACUAGGAUAUAUAAGAGAGAAAGAGGAAAGUGUCCAUCUGGAAAAGUAUCACAUCCUGUCUCAUGGAGUUGCCUCAGUGAGAAGUAUGAUGUAAUGACUGAGAUCACUGGCUUUGAAGGCAG